Molecule: ribosomal RNA, 914 nt
Filed under: uncultured crenarchaeote
Lineage: Archaea; Thermoproteati; Thermoproteota
Description: bacterial SSU rRNA
Rfam family: Archaeal small subunit ribosomal RNA
Source: RNAcentral
UUCCGGUUGAUCCUGCCGGACCUGACUGCUAUCGGAUUGAUACUAAGCCAUGCGAGUCAUUGUAGCAAUACAAGGCAUACGGCUCAGUAACGCGUAGUCAACCUAACCUAUGGACGGGAAUAACCUCGGGAAACUGAGAAUAAUGCCCGAUAGAACAUUAUGCCUGGAAUGGUUUAUGUUCCAAAUGAUUUAUCGCCAUAGGAUGGGACUGCGGCCUAUCAGUUUGUUGGUGAGGUAAUGGCCCACCAAGACUAUUACAGGUACAGGCUCUGAGAGGAGUAGCCCGGAGAUGGGUACUGAGACACGGACCCAGGCCCUAUGGGGCGCAGCAGGCGAGAAAACUUUGCAAUGUGCGAAAGCACGACAAGGUUAAUCCGAGUGAUUUCUGCUAAAGAGAUCUUUUGUUAGUCCUAGAAACACUAACGAAUAAGGGGUGGGCAAGUUCUGGUGUCAGCCGCCGCGGUAAAACCAGCACCUCAAGUGGUCAGGAUGAUUAUUGGGCCUAAAGCAUCCGUAGCCGGCUCUGUAAGUUUUCGGUUAAAUCUGUACGCUCAACGUACAGGCUGCCGGGAAUACUGCAGAACUAGGGAGUGGGAGAGGUAGACGGUACUCGGUAGGAAGUGGUAAAAUGCUUUGAUCUAUCGAUGACCACCUGUGGCGAAGCCGGUCUACCAGAACACGUCCGACGGUGAGGGAUGAAAGCUGGGGGAGCAAACCGGAUUAGAUACCCGGGUAGUCCCAGCUGUAAACUAUGCAAACUCAGUGAUGCAUUGGCUUGUGGCCAAUGCAGUGCUGCAGGGAAGCCGUUAAGUUUGCCGCCUGGGAAGUACGUACGCAAGUAUGAAACUUAAAGGAAUUGGCGGGGGAGCACCACAAGGGGUGAAGCCUGCGGUUCAAUUGGAUUCAACGCCGGG